RNAcentral lists this ribosomal RNA (180 nucleotides) under uncultured bacterium. RNAcentral's name for it is "partial 16S ribosomal RNA". It matches the Rfam family "Bacterial small subunit ribosomal RNA", at positions 337 to 508 of the family's 1533-position model. The record is from RNAcentral.
UCCUACGGGAGGCAGCAGUAGGGAAUCUUCGGCAAUGGACGAAAGUCUGACCGAGCAACGCCGCGUGAGUGAAGAAGGUUUUCGGAUCGUAAAACUCUGUUGUUAGAGAAGAACAAGGACGUUAGUAACUGAAACGUCCCCUGACGGUAUCUAACCAGAAAGCCACGGCUAACUACGUGC